Molecule: non-coding RNA, 938 nt
Organism: Tachysurus fulvidraco (yellow catfish)
Lineage: Eukaryota; Metazoa; Chordata; Actinopteri; Siluriformes; Bagridae
Source: the annotation of a RefSeq genome assembly
UAGUAUGAAUAUAAAAUCAAACCGUGUUUCAAGUGCGUUCACAUUCUGUUAAUAAAUGAGAUACAAACACUGUAGAAUUGAUAAGAAAUGAACAAUGAGCAGUUUCUGGAUUUUACUUUUCAUCUUCAGCACCAUGUACACACUCCAUCCUGGUAGACACUGGGUUACUGCACAAUCUCUAACAAAGCCACCAGUUUAUCAGCCUGAUAAAGAGCUCAAUGUGAAUAUCGGAGACUCGGCGACUCUACAGUGUUGUAUUUCUGAAAAUAGAGAUGGAAUAAUUACAUGGUUUAAGCAACCAACGAGAGAAAAACCUCAGAUUGUAGUCACAGUGUAUAAAAGUGGUGGAGAAACUUUUCACACUGGAUUCCAAAAAUCUCGUUUUCGAAUAGAAAGAUAUUCAAACUGCUGCAAUAUCACAAUUUUAAAAAUAACUCAGUCUGAUGAAGCCAUGUACUACUGUGCAAUGACAAGAUUCAACAUUGUGUUUGGAGAUGGAACUUAUUUACAAAUUAAAGGAGAAGAAAACCUGAAACCUCAAGAUCUAACACUGCUGUAGAAGAUUCUCCAGCAACGAUGCAGGAAUCUGAAGCUGAAUCACUGAAUUAUGCGGCUUUGCAAUUCUCCAAGAGGAAAACCAAAGCUGAAAAGAGAAAACCCGUCUCAUCAGAUGAGUGUGUGUACUCUGAUGUGAAGAAAUCUGUAAGAUAACAUAAAUGUCUCAUGGUCAAACACAUGGUACUAUUACACAAAGAUAACCUUUUAGCAAAGAAAAAUAUCUCGACUAGAGUGAAAUAUAAUCCUUAAUUAUCAUUACGAGUUAGAAAUCUACAAUAAUGUCAAGUCUUAAAAUUUUCACAAUGAUUUCUUUCAAAUGUCCAGAUCUUACAUUUUACCAACAGUAAAUCAAAGAAGAAAAAAAAAUUAUGAUUUUUUUA